RNAcentral lists this microRNA precursor (192 nucleotides) under Oryza brachyantha (malo sina). RNAcentral's name for it is "MIR812 microRNA precursor family". It matches the Rfam family "MIR812 microRNA precursor family". Lineage: Eukaryota; Viridiplantae; Streptophyta; Magnoliopsida; Poales; Poaceae. The record is from Rfam by way of RNAcentral.
AAUAAACCAAUUUUUCACUUUUUACCUACAAUUUUUAACCUUUUGUCUUAUCAAAUUUUUUUGCGAUUGAUAUUUUUGUUUUUAUUAGAUAAUAAAUUAUGAAUAGUACUUUACGUGUGACUAAUUUUUUCUAAUUUCCUAAAAUUUUUUUAAAUAAGACGGAUGAUCAAACGUUGGACACGAAAACCGGAG